Molecule: long non-coding RNA, 100 nt
Organism: Gopherus evgoodei (Goodes thornscrub tortoise)
Lineage: Eukaryota; Metazoa; Chordata; Testudines; Testudinidae
Exons: 3
Source: RefSeq, a predicted model, not a curated record
UAGUCCUAAUUCUUCAGUGAGAGGGCGCUCCUAUUUAAGGUCAAAUAAAAACAAAAGUAGCAGAGUGCAGUUGAUUCAGAUAAAGUGCAUUUAUUCUGAA